Molecule: unclassified non-coding RNA, 21 nt
Filed under: Mus musculus (house mouse)
Lineage: Eukaryota; Metazoa; Chordata; Mammalia; Rodentia; Muridae
Description: oocyte_clustered_small_RNA2284
Source: RNAcentral
UCUGACAGCCAUUUCCAUGCC